This is an RNA transcript of Oryza brachyantha (malo sina), 1614 nucleotides long. It is a transcript of the gene named serine/arginine-rich-splicing factor SR34-like, with no coding region annotated. The transcript has 14 exons. NCBI's taxonomy places the organism in Eukaryota, Viridiplantae, Streptophyta, Magnoliopsida, Poales, Poaceae. The record is from RefSeq and is a predicted model, not a curated record.
CCGCUCGCUUCCGAAGCUUCUCGACCCCUCCGCCGCCGCCGCCGCCGCCUCUCCCUCCCUCUCCACCGCCGCCGCCGCAGGGUCGCAGGAACGAUGAGCCGGCGCAACAGCUGCACCAUCUACGUGGGCAAUCUCCCCGGCGACAUCCGCGAGAGGGAGGUGGAGGAUCUCUUCUAUAAGUAUGGCCGUAUUGUGGAUAUUGAUUUGAAAAUUCCUCCAAGGCCUCCUGGUUAUGCUUUUGUUGAGUUUGAAGACCCCCGUGAUGCGCAGGAUGCAAUUCAUGGCCGUGAUGCAUAUGACUUUGAUGGCCACAGGUUGCGGGUGGAGUUAGCUCAUGGUGGCAGAGGCCCUUCUUUUGAUCGGUCAAGCAACAAUAGCAGUGCUGGGCGCCGUGGUGCCUCUAGACGUACUGAUUACCGUGUUAUGGUUACUGGAUUACCUUCGUCAGCAUCAUGGCAAGAUCUCAAGGAUCAUAUGAGGCGAGCUGGUGAUGUCUGUUUCUCUGAUGUUUAUCGUGAGGGUGGAGCAACUGUUGGAAUUGUUGAUUAUACCAACUAUGAGGAUAUGAAACAAGCAAUACGAAAGCUUGAUGACUCAGAGUUCCGUAAUGCAUUUUCACGGGCAUAUGUCAGGGUCAAGGAGUACAAUUCUACUAAGCGCAGCCGCUCUUGCUCCAGAAGCCGAAGCCACAGCCGCUCUAUCUCAAGAAGCAGAAGCCGAAGCCGCUCUAUCUCCAGAAGCAGAAGCCGUAGUUAUAGCAGAAGCAGGAGUCCAAGAUCUAGGUCUGUUUCUCGGUCUCGUUCACCAGUGAAAGAAAGUUUGAUGUUCUUCGCUUCCAGAUCUAAGUCUGUUUCACGGUCUCCCUCACCUGCGAAAGAAAGAUUUGGGACAUGCAGCGAUCUGGGUUGCAUUGGUAGGAUAUUGGAUGCUUUGAGAACCAGACGAUGGUUUGGAACGUUGGAUAGUUCUGCUGGCUAGUGACAUACUGUAUGACAAGUGGACUACAACCAGCAAUAGGAUUUAUGGAGCAAAGAUAGGGCUGGCGCUAAACAUAUAUGGACUUAUGGAGUGCAUUUCGUGGUAUAAUCGAAAUACUAUGACUUACACAUUUCUGUUCUCAAAUGUAAACUUGGCCAUGCACCCCUAUUCUCAAAUAUAGACCUCACCUUAAUGUUAGAGUUUAUUUCUAAAGUACUUUUCAAUGAAAUAAGUGUGUUCAGCGAAUAGCUAGAACUGAAGUGUGUGAUCCAUCGUGGCUUCGUCUUCAUUUGGAAGAUUCGUGAUUUCCUCUUUCUAAAACAACAUUUACUUUUAAGGUCUGUCAAUAGUAUUUCAAAAGAUAACAUGCACAUUGGAAAAAGGUGAGCUCUUUACCUGUGCUCAUCCAAAACACUCCUCCCUAGCUUUAAUGUUUGCUGCUCUCAUGUGUGUUGAUGUUACCAUAUUCACCUAUGUUUGGAUCAAACUCUUGUAAUAGAGCAUUGCUUGCUAACAAUUUCAUCUUUUUUGGAACAUUUCGCAAAUCACCAUCAAGAUCCCCAUCCCCUGCUACUUCUCCUCAGCCUCCCCGCGAGAAGUCUGCAAGCAGGAGCCCUGUCAAGAGCAGAAGUUUAU